This 504-nucleotide ribosomal RNA is filed under the name uncultured bacterium. RNAcentral's name for it is "partial 16S ribosomal RNA". It matches the Rfam family "Bacterial small subunit ribosomal RNA", at positions 30 to 523 of the family's 1533-position model. The record is from RNAcentral.
AUUGAACGCUGGCGGCAGGCCUAACACAUGCAAGUCGAACGGUAGCACAGAGAGCUUGCUCUCGGGUGACGAGUGGCGGACGGGUGAGUAACGUCUGGGAAACUGCCCGAUGGAGGGGGAUAACUACUGGAAACGGUAGCUAAUACCGCAUAACGUCGCAAGACCAAAGUGGGGGACCUUCGGGCCUCACACCAUCGGAUGUGCCCAGAUGGGAUUAGCUAGUAGGUGGGGUAAUGGCUCACCUAGGCGACGAUCCCUAGCUGGUCUGAGAGGAUGACCAGCCACAAUGGAACUAAGACACGGUCCAGACUCCUACGGGAGGCAGCAGUGGGGAAUAUUGCACAAUGGGCGCAAGCCUGAUGCAGCCAUGCCGCGUGUAUGAAGAAGGCCUUCGGGUUGUAAAGUACUUUCAGCGGGGAGGAAGGCGGUGAAGUUAAUAGCUUCACCGAUUGACGUUACCCGCAGAAGAAGCACCGGCUAACUCCGUGCCAGCCGCCGCAGUAA